CCUACGGGACGCAGCAGUGGGGGAUAUUGCACAAUGGGGGGAACCCUGAUGCAGCGACGCCGCGUGGGUGAAGGAGUGCUUCGGCAUGUAAAGCCCUAUCGGCAGGGAAGAAGCAAGACGGUACCUGACUAAGAAGCCCCGGCUAACGACGUGCCAGCAGCCGCGGUAAUACGUAGGGGGCGAGCGUUAUCCGGAUUCACUGGGUGUAAAGGGAGCGUAGACGGCCAAGCAAGCCAGGGGUGAAAGCCCGGGGCCCAACCCCGGGACUGCCCUUGGAACUGCAUGGCUUGAGUGCGGGAGGGGCAGGCGGAAUUCCUGGUGUAGCGGUGAAAUGCGUAGAUAUCAGGAGGAACACCGGCGGCGAAGGCGGCCUGCUGGACCGCGACUGACGUUGAGGCUCGAAAGCGUGGGGAGCGAACAGGAUUAGAUACCCGAGUAGUC
Molecule: ribosomal RNA, 441 nt
Filed under: uncultured bacterium
Lineage: Bacteria
Description: partial 16S ribosomal RNA
Rfam family: Bacterial small subunit ribosomal RNA
Source: RNAcentral